UGACAGGCCGUUAGGAUAGGAAAUCUGCAAAUACAAGGUUGUCAGACGUAUAGUUCAUUGGAAUAUUCCUGAUGGUAAUCCAUGUGGCUAAAUAGGCUGGUAACCCCAGGUCAGCACACAGCUAAAAGCCUUAACCUGGAUGUGUUAUCAUCAGUGUCGGUUAUGGAACCUCAUCCCGUAUGGUCGACAAGAUCCUGACC
RNAcentral lists this long non-coding RNA (200 nucleotides) under Elaeis guineensis (African oil palm). RNAcentral describes it as "long non-coding RNA (EGUI_LNC015674)". The record is from RNAcentral. Lineage: Eukaryota; Viridiplantae; Streptophyta; Magnoliopsida; Arecales; Arecaceae.